CAAAUUCUUAAAUAAUUAUUCUUAAUAACAAGAAGAAGAAUUCUCAGGAAGGUGAAGAAGUGCAAAGACCUCAAAAAUACAACACAUUCCGAGGCUAUCUCUAGCAAACCAUUUCAAAAUAUUUCAGAGACUUAAAAAGUUCAUUACGUUCACGGGACUCUAUCUGUACUUCUUGUGUAAGGUUCUGGAGAUUUUCUUAAUUGUGACAAUACUAUUUUCUUGUUUAUAUAUGAAAAACAAAUUUUCAAAUAAUUAUUCUUAAUAACAAGAAGAAGAAUUCUCAGGAAGGUGAAGAAGUGCAAAGACCUCAAAAAUACAACACAUUCCGAGGAUAGAGAUAGCAAAGCAUUUCAAAGUAUUUCAGAGACUUAAAAAGUUCAUUACGUUUACGGGACUCUGUCUGUACUUCUUGUGAUUUUGUCCAAAAAGCUCUAAAGGUUUUAAUACUACAUUUCCGAUAUUGAGACAUUUCAAACACUUAUAAGAGCCAUUACGUCCACGGAACUCUACUCGAACUUUCUCUGUGAGGUUUUAAAGAAAUUUUUUUUGUUUGUGUCAACACUAUUGCUGCCAUAAUUAAUUAACAACCGAAAAAUAAUGAAAGUGAGAAAGGCUGCGUUUAGUACCUCCAACCAAAUUUGCUUUAACUGCAUUCAAUUGAGGAAACGUAAUAUCUAAGGUUCAAGACGUUCCAUAGACUUAAGAACUUUAUUGCGUUCACGGCAAUCUAACUGUAAGAUCUGAAGAUAUUAGUCUUAGCUAUAACUGAAAUAAAGAUUUCAGUACUCUCGUCUAAUCUCUGAAAGUAUGGAGGAAUCUGCAAAUAUCAACCAAGUAAUCUAUUUGAAAUGCUAUAAAUAUGUCAAUAAACCGUCAACUAUGAAAAAUAAGCUAUACCCGUAUAUGUAUCGCAGAGAUAAGUCGUUAGAAGCUGCAAGGAGAGUUAUGGUUCCAGUUAAUUCUCCUAUCAUAGUCGGUAAUAACGAAAAAAAUAAGUGUAGCGGAAAGGAAAGUCAAGAAAUACAGAAAGAUAAUGCCAAAGAAGUCGUUGUGCCUUUAGCCAGUCAAAAUAAGCAAGAAGAAUUAAGAUCAAAAAUAUCAAAAGAGGUAAAAAGAAUUAAUGAAUCUGCUGUGAAGAAGCCAUCGAUAUUCAAGCCGAAAAGAUAUCCGGUAAUGUACAAAGGAAGAAAGCCAAUCAAGGACACUAUAAUCCAGCUUGAAUAAGAAAGCCCAUCUUAAACAAAAAUAGUGUACAAGGUCUAUCAAUACUAAAACAAUUCAUCUUUAAAUAUCUGCUGACAUUUUUCAACUUAAAAUUGUUAUUACUCCACAAAUCUAAUUAAUCAGAUUAAAAAAUGUGUAGGUUUAAUAGAAUAAGUAUUAAAAGGAGUCUAUCACUCAAGUAUUAAGACGUAUAUCUUCAACAAACCCAAAUUUGACUGCAGUUGUAUACAAACGAGGUUUGCAACAUAUCGAGUAUAUUAAAACAGUGUAACAUUACAUUGAGUAAUAAAGCAAACAUCAUCAAAAUAUUAUAGGUAUAUAAUAAAUAUCAAGCUUUAAAAAUCAGAGUUACAAACUUUGCCGAAGCCGAAAACCAUUGUGCAUAACGGUUUAUCUACGAGUAGAAGUGUUUCGAUGUUAAAUUAAACCAGCUAUUAAGAAAAAAGAUAUUGGCCACUGACUUUGUGAAUCAUUAUUGCGACUGAUAUGGGUUAUUUGGACACUCAAAAGACAGAUAUUAUCUUGCUUACAGAUACACAGACACAUGGACACGAUAUUUUGUUACAAAUACAAUAUUUGCAUUGCAAUAUACAACACAUAUUAACAUAUUAAAUAAUAUAACAAGAAUUCUGACAACGACAUUGUCUGGAUAUCAACAUCUCUAAAUGCCAUAUCAAUUUAUUCUUAAUGAUAACUGACCUCUACUGAAUAACGUAGAUACUAUUAGCAGUUUUCUAAAGUAUACAGCAGUCUACGAACUUCCACGUGUUAGUAUAUCGAGAAUUUUAACAAGAUCCAUUGCAGUUUCUUAAUAUGUCCGGUUACCAAAAUAUUCUCAACACAAUAUCGAAGGCAAGGAGUGCAUUUUUCUUCCUGUAGAGUAGAUGCAACUGCUGCUCGUUUUGCGAAAAAAUUGAGUUAUCCAAAUAUUCAAACCAUAACCUCCACCUACUGCAGCUCAUCUUCUACGAAAACCUUAAGAAACACAAGUAUUCAAACCAUAACGCUCAGCUAUUGCAGCUCGUCUUGUGCGAAAACCUAAAAUAAACUUUUUUCGAUUUCAUAUUGAAAAUAUUUCUAAACCCAUCUAUGUCAUAAUGAAAUACUUGAAAAAUGUAAUACAUGCUACUAUAAUGGAAGACUCAUGUUCAUGUGUGUUCUAAAAUUUUAUUAUUUAUUCACUAAACAAUAUCAGCAGCGAAAUAUAUUGUAAAUAUCAUAAAGAUGUUUCACUUGUUAACCGUGACCGUACUAGAGAGAUUGUGUGUUCUGUGUGUGGACUAAUUCUUGAUCGAAUAAUUGAUGUUGGCUAUGAGUGAUGGUUAUGUUUUAAAAAUGGGCCAAUAUAAGCAAAAAAUCUGCGGUAAUUGCUUUGGCAUCCCUUGGCUUAAUAUAGGAAAUCGAACGAACCUUAAUGUGCUCUUCCUACAACUUCUUCGUUAAGCCAAAUUUAAUCCAAUAGGUAUUAUACGAUUAUAAUGGACGAUUAUAAAGUUAUGUGCGGUCGCAUAUUACAGCGUAUGGAAAGGGAGUUCGGAUUAAUUUAACCCAAAUAAUUCUCGACCGAGAAAGAUAAGUAUAUUAAACACCAACCUUUAAGAACUGUUUAAAUUGUGUGAUAAAUGUGUUAAUUGAUCAACUUACAGACAUACUUUUGGAAUUACUUUAAAUGAUGUAUUGAAGGUUUCUUUUUUAAGAAUAUGUGCUAUUGAUUUCUUCUGCAAUAUAUCGUUGAGCUUUACAGAAUUAUUUUAUUUUCAUAUAAGAAUUGUUUAAAAGAAAUAUGUUAUCGGUAUUUAUGUUAACAGUAUAUAAUAUGUGAGUAUAAAUUUCAGAUUCAUGAACUGCACUAAAUACAUUAUUCAAUUUGAACUAAAUCAGCAGCGUGCUUACUAAUACAUUGUCGUCAAGAAGGCGCAUGGCAUUCUUUUAAAGAAAUUCCUAUUGUGCUCUUUCUAAUAUGAAUGAUGGAUAUUGGACCUUCCUAUAAGAAAAUUACAGGACUCCUAGAGUACAGCGUUGACUGUGUUACCAAUUGUUAUCAAUGAAUAUUUUCUAGCAGGCUUUUGCGCAAAUAGGUUUGACCGAUAUGAUGAAAAGUACUGCAAUCAAUAUAUCAAGACAAGAGAAUGAAAUGCGAAAUGCGAUCAAUAAAUCUCCAAUAAUUGAUAAUAAUGUCAGAUUACCAGUAUUAGCUCAAGCCAAAAAAUAGUAGCAAUGCGGCAGAUGUGAGUGAAGUAAUCAUUAGAGAGACUAAAAACGCUCUGAUGUCUAAAUAUUAUGAGUUAAACUGCAAAUUCGUGCCAAAAUAAUAUAUAUUAAGAGGAUA
Teleopsis dalmanni is the source of this 3553-nucleotide long non-coding RNA. RefSeq lists it as uncharacterized. The transcript has 7 exons. The record is from RefSeq and is a predicted model, not a curated record. NCBI's taxonomy places the organism in Eukaryota, Metazoa, Arthropoda, Insecta, Diptera, Diopsidae.